AUUGAACGCUGGCGGCAGGCCUAACACAUGCAAGUCGAACGAGUGGCGGACGGGUGAGUAAUGUAUGGGAAACUGCCUGAUGGAGGGGGAUCACUACUGGAAACGGUAGCUAAUACCGCAUACCAUCAGAUGUGCCCAGAUGGGAUGAGCUAGUUGGUGGGGUAAAGGCUCACCAAGGCGACGAUCCCUAGCUGGUCUGAGAGGAUGAACAGCCACACUGGAACUGAGACACGGUCCAGACGCCUACGGGAGGCAGCAGUGGGGAAUAUUGCACAAUGGGCGCAAGCCUGAUGCAGCCAUGCCGCGUGUAUGAAGAAGGCCUUCGGGUUGUAAAGUACUUUCAGCGGGGAGGCGUUACCCGCAGAAGAAGCACCGGCUAACUCCGUGCCAGCAGCCGCGGUAAUAC
RNAcentral lists this ribosomal RNA (406 nucleotides) under uncultured bacterium. RNAcentral's name for it is "partial 16S ribosomal RNA". It matches the Rfam family "Bacterial small subunit ribosomal RNA", at positions 30 to 526 of the family's 1533-position model. The record is from RNAcentral.